AUGCACCUGGGCAAGGAUUCUGGA
Molecule: non-coding RNA, 24 nt
Filed under: Macaca fascicularis (crab-eating macaque)
Lineage: Eukaryota; Metazoa; Chordata; Mammalia; Primates; Cercopithecidae
Also listed under: 3 other names
Source: RNAcentral